RNAcentral lists this transfer RNA (53 nucleotides) under Bos taurus (domestic cattle). It matches the Rfam family "tRNA", at positions 10 to 63 of the family's 71-position model. From Rfam's summary of the family: Transfer RNA (tRNA) molecules are approximately 80 nucleotides in length. Lineage: Eukaryota; Metazoa; Chordata; Mammalia; Artiodactyla; Bovidae. RNAcentral also lists the same sequence under 2 other names. The record is from Rfam by way of RNAcentral.
UCUGAUUGUAAAGAAUCUGCUUGCAAUGCAGAAGACCCAGGUUCAAUCCCUGG